GAUCAGACACACUGGAACUGAGACACGGUCCAGACUCCUACGGGAGGCAGCAGUGGGGAAUUUUCCGCAAUGGGCGAAAGCCUGACGGAGCAAUACCGCGUGAGGGAAGACUGCCUAUGGGUUGUAAACCUCUUUUUUCAGGGAGGAAUUAAUGACGUGUACCUGAAGAAUAAGCAUCGGCUAACUCCGUGCCAGCAGCCGCGGUAAGACGGAGGAUGCAAGUGUUAUCCGGAAU
RNAcentral lists this ribosomal RNA (235 nucleotides) under Ditylum brightwellii. Its description in RNAcentral is "partial Bacterial small subunit ribosomal RNA". It matches the Rfam family "Bacterial small subunit ribosomal RNA", at positions 302 to 551 of the family's 1533-position model. The record is from RNAcentral. Lineage: Eukaryota; Bacillariophyta; Thalassiosirophyceae; Lithodesmiales; Lithodesmiaceae.